UCGUCGAUCUUGGAGAAGAGGGCGUCAGUGAGCGCAGAGAGGGCCUUCUUCUCAUCCUUGGGCUUGGCGGCGAUGACGGUGUUCAGAUCGUAGCGGAGGUAGCUGGCCCUGAGGCGGAGGUCGUUCUGGACGUAUGGCCAGGCCUUCUUCUCGAUGAGCGCCUUCAUGUUGAGAAUCUCCUUGGCGGACUCCUUGGCUCUCUGCACGGCUUCCGUGGGGGGAAGCAGCUGGAGGUAGAAGCGGUUCUUCAGCGGCAGCUGGAAAUCUCUGGCCUCGUCGGAGUUCCGAGUUCCGGUCAGUCCGCCAGAGGGCGUUGGAGGAGGACCGAUCUUGAUCGCCCUGGCUUCCGCCAGCACAGCCUUCACGAAGGAUCCCCCGGCGAGUCCCACCGCCACCAGUCCCAUCGCCGCCCGCCAGCUGGUCUGCCCCGC
Molecule: long non-coding RNA, 431 nt
Filed under: Spirodela polyrhiza (greater duckweed)
Lineage: Eukaryota; Viridiplantae; Streptophyta; Magnoliopsida; Alismatales; Araceae
Description: long non-coding RNA (SPOL_LNC002419)
Source: RNAcentral